RNAcentral lists this transfer RNA (398 nucleotides) under uncultured Microcystis sp. RNAcentral's name for it is "bacterial LSU rRNA". The stretch from base 135 to 208 matches the Rfam family "tRNA". Lineage: Bacteria; Bacillati; Cyanobacteriota; Cyanophyceae; Chroococcales; Microcystaceae. The record is from RNAcentral.
AAGGGAGACCUAAUUCCAGUAGGAGGCGAAAAAAAAGUAGUCCCUACCAAGAAUCAAUCCCAAAAGGUCGGAGCGAGGCAAAAUUGGCUUUCAAACUAGGUUCUGGGUUCACACAAGACCUGAAUCAGGAACAAGGGCUAUUAGCUCAGGUGGUUAGAGCGCACCCCUGAUAAGGGUGAGGUCCCUGGUUCGAGUCCAGGAUGGCCCACCUGCACAGGUGGAAGAAAGAAAAGAAGCUCCGAAUCAGCACCUUAUCUUACUUAUAUAGUAAGAGAGAAUGCUGGCUCUGAGUACAGAGUCCAGAGGAACCUUGAAAACUGCAUAGAGCUAGGUGAAAAAGCCAAAAAAGAAGACCGCAAGGUCAAGCUAAUAAGGGCUAACGGUGGAUACCUAGGCAC